Molecule: long non-coding RNA, 18622 nt
Filed under: Eucalyptus grandis
Lineage: Eukaryota; Viridiplantae; Streptophyta; Magnoliopsida; Myrtales; Myrtaceae
Description: long non-coding RNA (EGRA_LNC005778)
Source: RNAcentral
GGCAAAGAUUUUGUAGACUUCCUCUUCCACUUCCUUGCAUUGCCGGUCGGAACGGUGAUCCAGCUCCUCACAAAAACCGGGAUGGUGGGCAGUUUAGGCAAUCUCUACGGCAGCGUCGAGAAGCUGAACGAUGUGUACAUUGAACCUUCCAAGAAAGACAUUCUCUUGAAACCCAAAGCACCCUCCUGCGUCUCUGAAAUCCCACUUAUAUUGCCUGAGACUUCUUCAGAUUCAACGCCCAAAACCUACUACAGGUGCCCUCAACGUUCGUAUCAUAACUGUUCAGGCUAUGUGGCAGAGGACCCUUCUGCACAAUGUCCCCAGUGCAAUAAUUCCAUGAACCACCCAAUUACUUUUGUCAAAUCACUGGCCCGUAACCCGGCGGCUGCUGCGGCAUCAGCAGCUGAAUCAAAUAGUAAGGUUGGUUUCGUGCACGGGGUGGUUACGUACAUGGUGAUGGACGAUCUGGAGGUGAAGCCAAUGUCGACUAUUUCGAGCAUUACUUUGCUUACCCAGUUCAACGUGAAGGAGAUUAGGCAUCUUGAGGAGAAGGUGGUCAGCUUGGGAAUGGACGAGGUAAGCCCAUGCCAUCCCUUAUGACUAGGUUAUGUUUAGAUUUUAGAAGUGACUCAACGAUUUGUGGAACCUCUAUUUUAAAGAAGUACGAAUUACAAAUGAAUUUCAAUCGACAUGAGUUAUGUGAAAGAGAAAUUACUAGGUCCAUCCCAUAAAAAAUAUUCUCAACAAUUUUUUGGUAUAUAUCGAUUAAUCAAAAUUUUAGCUUUUGUACCAUUAUGUAUAUGCUUGUAGGUUAAAUCAAGAUCGUGUUCACCAUUAAUACAGAGCUUAUAAAGUAAAUGUCCUUUAUUAAUUAUUUGAUUUGUAACUGUGAAGGGUAUAAAGCUAUUGAGGACUUCAUUUCACUCCAAGAAGGUUCUCACUGAUGUCUUUCUCGAUGACGAAGAGAUCGUGAUCAAGUGACUAUAUAUAUGCGUGUGGGGAUGUGUGAUAUAUGAAGUAUGUGGAGUGAUAUGCUCUGAUUUUGUAAGAGUUUAUGCAAGUCGUGCAGCGCGGACUGAUAUUUUUAAGGUUUUUCGUUUUUGUGUGGACGUUUUAGCAAGUUUAUCGUCUCUUUUAGCGAUAUGACUGUAUUAGUCUGGUUGUAAAAAUGAUGUGAACAUGCUGAAGAAAGAAUAUAAGUCUCAUAGCCUAUAAUGAAUGCUAAAGCAUGUGUCAGAAAUGUGGAACCACUAUAGACAUGCCACUCGUAAAAUUAACGGUGCUGGAGAACGUGGGGUGACUAAUUUUAAAGUAAUUCGAAAAUGUCCCUGGUAAGUUGGCACCUAUGUCGUGGGGUUGGGUCCAACUGAGUGCCCAACUCUCAAUCCAUGAGAAGUUGUCCUUGAUACUCUAUUGCAUAAGCUUGGAUAUAGAGGUGAAAAAGACAAUAGCUUGAUUCAUCGCCUAAAUGAGAUCGGCUCAACUUUUUUUGAGCUUAAGUCAUGCUCAAGUAACUGGAUUAGUUUUUCGAGUUCAGUUCGAGCUUAAAGAUACUUGUCUCGAUCUUCUCAUGGGCCUAAUCGAGCAUACUAAUUUUGUUAUAGAUUUUCCUUACUAUUUUUAGUGAAAAAAAUGCAAAAUGUACUUAUAAUUCUACUUCUUACUAUGUUAUUACACUUUCAUUCUUUGACACAUUUUUAAACAUAAACAAAAGGAGCAAAUGCAAGUGUUUCAAGCCAAGCUGUGUUUGAUUGAGCAAGAAAAAAUAACGUAUGUUGAAAUGGGUCAGUGAAAUUGGGUCAAUGAGGGUGUUCCAUCCUUGAUUUUUCAAGUGCAUGAUUGCUAAUUUGAUCAAAUUAAGCCAAAUGGAAGUGAUUUUUUCAAAAUUAAUAUUGAAAUUGAGUUCCAUCCAAUCAAUUGUAUCCAAUUUUGGCUAAUUUUCACUCAUAAUAAUGAAUUGAUUCAGAACCCCUAAUUGGGUCAAAAUUGGGGAAAUUUGUUGAUGAGUUGUAAUCUCAAAAUUGGCAUAACAAUUAAAUGCACUAUGACCUAUAGAUCAAAUGUCGUAAAAGAAACCAUCUCAAAUGACGACUAGAAAUGUACUAAUUUUUAUUUUGGCCAAUUAAAUAUCAAAAUUCCCAAUUGGGGAAAAGUCGACUCCUAUUUGAUUUUUGCAAAAUUGAUGAUAGAGAAGUCAAAUUGAAAUAAAAAUAUGUUGAUUUGUGAGUUUUUCCAUUUUUUCCUUUUUUUAAUGGUUGACCAUUUUCAUAUUUUCUAAAAUUGAAAGUGCAAAUAUGAAUUUGACACCAUUUUUUUUUAUUAAUAAGCUAAAUUUUGGCCAAAUUUUGAAUUUUUUUAAAUAAAAUUUUGACAAAAAAUUCAACUCUAAAGUCAAAUUUUUAACUUUUCAAAAUUAAAGUACAAAUAAAUCGUAAUUGAAGGGCCAACACUAAUUCAAAUGCUAAAUAGCUCUUUUUGGCAUGAUACAGCCCCUGUUUUUUUUUUUUUUUUGGUCGGAAAUACUUAGCACUUUAUUUACGAAGGGAAAGCAUUACAACCCGUUUUUAGGGCAUCAAUACAUAGCGUAUCCAGAAUAAUCUGAGGAGGUGAGGAGGCCCAGUUUGAGUUCAAAAAGCCACGGCCAAAGGCCUUAGCGGCCCAGUCGGCGAGGGAGUUCGCUUCCUGUCUACAGUGGCACAGGCGUAAGUGGGAAAAUCGGGAGAUCAAAUCUGCAACUUCCACAACUAGGUUUCGGCAGUCCCAUGGUGGCGAUCGGUGAUCGUUGAUCGUCUCUACCAUUACCAAACAAUCGGAAUCAAUUUGCAGGUGAUCAUCUGUCAUCCCUUUUUGUAACAGAUAGUGAAGAGCUUGAUGUAGGGUUCGAAUCUCCAUUUGUAGAGGAGAUGAAGCGGGAACGAUCUGGGAGGAUCCACCAAUCAAAUUGCCUUCAUGGUUUCUGCAAACACAAGCGACCGAGCCUGUUUGAUCUGCUAUAGGGAAAGCCCCAUCAAUAUUCACUUUGAUUGUUCCUUGUGGUGGAGGAUUCCAGAUCCGAGAGGUAGGCAACACCAAUCGCCCUGUAGUUGUUGCGUUCUUCUGCUUACUACGAUUAAGCUCUGCAUUUGUAAGUGCCAGAUCUACAACCUGUUCAUGUGUUGACCACUUGUUGCAGAAGAUGAAGUGAUUCCUCACUUGCCAAAUCUGCCAAAGAAGGGCUACCACUGUCUCCAGUUCAGGUACGUUUACUCCCUGCAUUAAUAGAUCUGCUAGCCAAUUAGACAUCCUGUGUGUAUUGUAUGCUGAAAGAUUAAUUUGCACUUUGGGAUGGGACCAAAUGCCCUAUAUCUAUGGGCAAAGGAGAAAUAAGUGUUCGGUGGUUUCAGGAAGAUGAGUUUGACAUAACUGACAUUCUGGGUCAAGGAUGAUAUGUUUCGAAGUUUGGGGGCUGUCUUUAGUUGCCAAAUCUUGCGCCAGACGGGGCUUAGGAGUUAAGGGGAUAUGGAUGCAAAGUUGGGAAGGUGUUUGGGAGCAUUUUGUUUAAUGAACUUGUAGCCGCUUUUGACCGUAUAGUCUUCAGUAGGUAUUCCUAUCCAUAUAAUUUGAUCUGUGGUCGGAAUUGAACUGAGAGGUAUGGUAACAAUCUCCCUGAUAAUCUGGUCAUCAAAACUUUGUCGAAGAAGAGGAACAUUCCAAUUAGUCUGAUUUUGUUGAAUAAAACUUCCAACCAUUUCUGGCUCUCCUCUUCUAGCUGGCCCACCAAGAGUUCCUCUAGCUAACCAUUUAUCAUUGCGAAUGUGAAUGCAUUGGCCAUUCCCAAUUGACCAUUGAAGCUGAGCUGAGAUGAAAUCUCGACCUAACAGCAGACUUUGCCAGCCCCAUGACGGAGUAGAUCCUCUAGGUGCAUGCUAAAAAUCAGUAGAAUGAAAGUAUAAACCUUUAAACACACGGCUCCACAAAAAUGAAGGGCAUUGGGAUAUUCGCCAUGCCUGUUUACCGAGUAGUGCUUUAUUAAGACUAAGUAGGUUGCGAAAACACAGCCCCCCAUUUUCCUUCCUUUCUUGAAGUAGGUCCCAACUUUUCCAAUGGAUGCCCGACUUAGUACAACUAUUUUGUCACCAAAACUGUGCUAUCUUCUGCUCAAUAGACUUGCAUAGAGAGACUGGAAGUUUAAAAAUUGACAUAGCAUAGUUUGGUAAGGCCUGUACCACAGAUUUCAGUAAUAUUUCCUUCCCACCUUUGGAUAUAAGCUGUUCUUUCCACCCCACCAACUUGGCACUAACCCUCCUUAGUAUCCAAGCAAACAUAUUAUUCUUAGAAACUCCCAAAUCAGAUGGUAUUCCUAAGUACUUGCCAGUUUUUUCAAUCAAAGGUACUCGCAAUUCACUGGCCAGAUUGUGCUUUAAUGUAUGAGGAUAGGCUCUACUAAGAAAAAGUCUAGAUUUGUUUCUAUUCACUGCUUGACCUGUAGCUAGACAAUAUUGUUGUAGGAUGUUGGCUAAAUUUUGGCAUUCAAGUAGGCUUCCAUCUAAGAAAAAUAUCGCAUCAUCGACAAAAAAUAGGUGAGAGAGGGUAGGACACCACUUGUUAAACUGAAUUCCUUUGAGAUUUCUCAUAUCGACUGCUUGUUGAACGAGGGUUGAUAAAACAUUAGCCACUAGGAUGAAUAUAUAUGGAGAGAGAGGAUCGCCUUGGCGCAGUCCUCUUGUAGGAUGAAAAUAGGGUAACGGCUGUCCAUUGAAUUUAACGCUAAGGGAAACCGUUGUUAUGCACUGCAUCACCCAUUGCACCCAUUUGUUGUGAAACCCGAGCUUGCACAAAUAGGCCUCCAAAAAGUCCCACUCGACUUGAUUAUAUACCUUUUUCAUAUCCAACUUUAAAAUGGCCUGAAAUUUUCUCUUUCUUACCUUGGUUUUUAGUUGGUGUAGGACUUCUUGGACUACUAAGAUGUUAUCCUAUUUGUCUACCAGUCACAAAGGCGCUCUGCUCCGUCAAGAUCAACUCAGGUAACCAAGGUUUUAGUUUGUUCGCUAAUACUUUGGAUAUGAUUUUGCAAAUAAAAUUACAGAGGCUAAUGGGAUGAUAAUGAUCUAACCUUUCAGCAUGCGGGACCUUUGGAAUCAGAGUAAUGAGCAUUCUGUUUAAAGCUGGGGCCAUCACACCUGUUCUGAAAAAAUUCUGCACAGAGGUAAAUAUAUCUUCUUGGAGUAUGUCCCAAUAAUUUUAGUAGAACAAACCAUUAAAACCAUCUAGCCCCGGGGCUUUAGUUGCCCCCAAUUGAAAGGCAGCGUGUUUAACUUCUUCCCGAGAAACCUCAGCUAUUAAAACUUGGUUCAUUUCCAUUGUAACUACUGAAGAAACUUGUGUCAGAAUAGGGAGAUAAUCACGGUUACCUGCCGACUGAUAUGAUUGCGAAAGUAAUCCAUUGUCAUAUUCUUCAGUUGGCUGGGAUCUCAAAUCCAUCGAUGGUUUUCAUCCUGAAGCAUAGUGAUACGGUUAUAUUGUCGUCUUUAUACAGUCGUCGAAUGGAAAAACUUUGUAUUUCUGUCCCCCCACUUCAACCAGUUAAUGCGCGAUCUCAUUGCCCAAUAUUGCUCCUCUUGUUGCCAUAGAUUUUGAACUUCUUCCUUAAGCUGAUUUAUUGUUACUUUAUCAUAGUUGGUGCUUGGUCGAUUGAUAAAUUGUUGAAGUUAUUGCUGUAACAGAUUAAUUCGAUCACGACCAUGUGAAAAUGUAGAUUUACUCCAUCGGGCAAGUACUGUAGAGACGAGUCGUAGCUUGUGAUCGAGGGGUGCUUGCUGUAGUGGUAAAGAAGCCCAAGCUUCUGCAAUGACUUGUCGACUCUCCUGAUUCUAAGUCCAAAAGGCUUCAAAAGUGAAGGAUUUAUAACGUUUCUGUUUGGGAAUAUUAGUGUUCAGUAAGAGGGGACUAUGGUCAGACACAAUUGCAGGUAAAGCGAAGACUUCGGCUGUCGGGUAAGAAACUCUCCACUCCAUGGUGCAUAACAUCCUAUCAAGAUGUUCUUUCACUGCAUUAUCCCCUGCCCUAUUAUUCACCCAAGUGAAAGCACAACCCUUACUUUCGACAUCCAUUAGCGAACAACUAUUUAUAAAUGAUCGAAAAGAGUGCAUCCUAUAGGACUCAGCUAACUUUUUUCCAACUUUUUCCCAAUGGUACAUUACCUUAUCAAAGUCUCCAAUGCACAUCCAUGGCAGGUUAUUAUAGUAGCUGAUCUGUCACAAUUCAUCCCAAAGCUGCUGUCUUUGGUGAUAGACCGCAGGCGCAUGGAUACAGGUGAUUCUCAUCAGGUUUCCUCUUGGAGUAGUAGUGCAUAACAAGUCAAUAAAGUAAGCAUUAUGUCUCUCUAUACAUAAAUGUACCUGCUCAUUCCAGAAAACAACCAUUCCUCUAGCCAAACCCACUAGACUCACCACAAAAGAUUUCGGGAAUUUCAACCUCCUCUGAAUGUUUUGGAUUACUAUGUUCUGGUUUUUCGUUUCCAUCAAAAACACUGUGUCAGGCCGUUCUCAAGCCACAAGGGCCUUAAGUGCUUGAACUGUUAGGGUAUUGCCUAGUCCCUGACAGUUCCAGCUAAGUAGUUUCAUUUGUCCAUUGGUGGCUUUUUGGGGCAAGCCACCACAGCCCAACUGUCUACCAUGUCAGUCUCAUAAAUCGGAUUGUCCAUUAGAUGUGAAUCAUUAAAAUCUUAUGUGAUAUAAGAAUGCGAUUCAUAAGGGGCGUAUCUUUUGGCCUUCUUGAGUGGAUUAGUCUUAGGAGGAAUUCUACUAGCCUUAAAUUUCUUUACUUUUGAAGAACUUGCCUCUAGAUCUUUGAUGAGGAUAUGCUGUUCCUGCACAGGGGUUUUCUGCUUUUACACGAUCUCUGUUCGUGUAAAGUCAGUGAGAGAUACCUGCUGGUUGACUAGACCUGGAGGAGAUUCAACUUGUGGAGCUAAGCAAACUUCCAGAGUGGCUUGUUGCUGGUUUGUGCCCUGAGGAGUACUAGGUAAGAGAAGAGUCGAGUGUUGCGGAGUUUCAGGUAUGACCUCCUCAACAGCAUCAUGGGUAGUAUUUGCCUCAUAGAAAGCGCGCCAAUACGGGCUAUGUUCCUGAACAUCAGCCCUUAACCAUUGGCCAUAGGAGAAUUUAUCUUUCCCAUCAAGUUGCGUUUUAUCAUAAGGUAUAGUUGGACAAUACAUGUCAUAAUGGCCAAUAACCCCACAUGAGUAACAAAAGUGGGAUAAUCGUUCAUAUCUGAAAUCCAGCCAUAUAUUUCUGCCUUCUAAUCGUAUGAGCUUCCAUGGUUGUAGUGGUUUUUGCAAAUUGAGUUCUACACGAGCCCUUCCUGCCCGUAAUGUCGUACCUUCUCUGCCUUCAAGCUUUACUUCUUGCACCUUACCAAUAUUUUGCAUAGUCUUACUGAUCAUCUCCUCUGUACAGCGUUCAAGAGGAAGGCCAAACACUUGCACCAAGAAUGCACAAGUAAUGAAGUCAUAGUAAUGAAAUGGGGUGUUUGGUAUCCGGGAUUUCAAGAUAACUAGAUGAUUCGAGAACAGCCAUGGACUAUUAUCUAACAUCCUCUGUUUUUCGGUUGCCGAGUUGAACUUAAACACAUAUAAUCCCUCCUCCGGUUGAGUAAUUUCAACUUUAUCAUUGCGCCAAACUCGCUUCAGGGUAUUCUAAAAAGCUGGGAAAUUGAUAGACGGAUUAGAGAGGACUUUACCAACCAAAAUUAAUUGACAUUCUGCCAAUGUCUCUGCAGGAGCAGCUUCAUCCCAUACAUCGACCUCUUGUUGGGACCAAAGGCUACCUAAUAUGUUACAUAGAGCAGCAAGGCGUGCGUCCCCUUCCUGACUUGUGGAUUCCAUCUGCAUGCAUGCCUUGGAAAAGAAGGUAUGUAUCUCGUAUAACCACUAUCGAAAGGAGCAAUUCAAAUAUCUAAACAGAGGAAGGAUUCCUGUAAAGCAAUUGGAAGGCUUGGUCGAUGGUCUCGGAUGCAAGGCGAAUGCGGAGAAAUUGGAACGUUGACAAGGGCAUCCAUUGAUGUUGAAGAUAGAAGUCAAAUUAAUGAAACACUGAACGAGAUUGAAGAGGAAGGGGAUUAUGGGUGGAACCAAGGAAAAUGGCAUCGGGUGGAUUCGAUGAAGGAAACCAUGGCCGGAAAAAAGAAAAUCGGUGACAAAACACCAAUUGAGAAACACAGUGACAGAAGAACCGAAGAAACCAGAUGUGGGUUUGAGGGUUUGUUGAUGAAGAAGACUACCAUAAGGUAGAGGGAAACUCUACAAGUCGAGAGAGAAAACCUGACAUGCAGGAAAACGAUGUGGUAGUGAAUCCCUAUUCUCAAGUUUGUUUUUUCUUUGUAUGAUGCAUGAGGUAAAAAUUAAGUGUCGAAAGCUGCCUCUCUUUGAGAGGGAGUUCAGAGACGAAUAUUAGAUUAUGCUAAACUUGUUUUUUCUAGAAUGACAUUAUCUCUUUUUGUUCCUAAAAACAAAAAAAGAAAACAAAAAGUAGAAUAUGUAUUUUUUAAUUUCUUGUUUCUCUUCCAAAUAUAUUCAUUGGUCACUGAUGUAUACUAGAGAAUAGAAAAAUUAAUCGACGUGCACAAAUAUAUUUUUAUUCUUUUCCAGUUAUAGGGAAUGGAAAAUUGGAAAUGUUACCAAACAACCCUAAGUGGCUGUGGUUAGCAACUUAGCACCACCUAGCUUUGCGUUGACACCUUUUUUUGGUUCAUGAUUUAUAAUUUUAUUUAUUUUAUAUCCCAUGUCACUUUUGAUGCUGAAUCAUGACAUGGUGUUAAGGUAUAAGGUAAAUGGCUAAAUUGCCACUUUUAGCACUCACAUGUUUGAAAGAAGUAGAAAAUAUUAGGCACUCCACAUCAGUGAACAUGUUUUUGGGCUCCACUUGUUGGGAGAUUUCAAACCCUCAUUUUUCUCUCUCCCUCAUUGUUACUCUCACUCCCUUCCCUCUCCUAUUGCCUUUUUUGGUCGAUGGGCCUUGCUCGUCUUCAUCAUCUUUAGUACACAACCCUCUUUCUCUAGUUUAGUCAAAAUAAAAUUUAAGAUCACCUUCACAAAAUAGAGUAUGCAUAACCAAAAUUUUCAGCUAAUUUCUAGGCCUCAUGUUCAAAUUGACAUGUUGACCCGAUUGUCCAUCACAAUUUCACAGAAGAGAAUCGAUAGGUCUCGUGUUUGAAUCGACAUCUUAAUCCAAUUUUCCAUCUCCAUUUCACUAAUAUGAACCGAUGGAAAUGAUCAGUUGUUCAAUCUUCGUGAAUUCUUUGCUUGCUUUUGCAUAUAUGAUAGCAACUUCUUCUUCCCUCUUCAUUUCUCAUUCCAUGAAACCCUAGUGAGAGAGAGGAGACUAAAUGAGGUCAUGAGAGAGGGGAGGAGAGAGAGUAAUGGAGGGGAAAAGAGAGAAAAAGGGGGUUUGAAAUCUCCUAACAAGUGGGGUCCAUCAAACAAGUGGAGUUCAAAGGGUGGAGUGGUCAUUCGUCGACUUGGAGUGCUAGGCAUGUCCAAUAUUUCUUUCGGAAAGAAGGGCAGCACGAACAAAAGAAAGAAGAAAAAGGAAAAAAAAAACAUAUGAUUUAUCAACCCAAUGAAGCAAAAGAAAUCAUAAUCCCUAUGUGAGUUUAAGAAAUUUAUUUUUCAUUUUUAUUAUAUCUCAAACCGAUCUCAAUUUUUGUAGGACAUAACUAGCAAAAUGUCUUCGCGCAUUUUCUAGACCAAACAUGUGAUAUUGUAUAUUGAGAUUUAUUUUUAAUUAAAGAAAAAAAACUAAAAACUCUUUACAAAAUACAAUCAAAUCUAAACAUUUUAAAAUGCAAUCAAGUACUCAUUGGCAGUCCGUGAAAUCGAGUUUAAAUUUGUUACCAUUGGUGUCCAAUCGCAAGAAUUUGAAAAAUAAUGAUAUGGACCAUCGACGUCGCUAGUCCAAAUCUAAAGGCGCCAGAUCUAGCUGCGAACUUCCAGAUUUACGACGAUGGCUCCGACUUCCUGAUAUGGUGACGACAGCUUGUCUAUAGCCACGGGUGGUUGACUUCCAAAUAUGCAACCGUGGCUUGAGAUAAUCCAAAUUUGGCGACCGUGGCUCGUCCAUGGCCGUGAGCAAUGAUGAUUGGCUUGGAUGUGGCACCAGAGGCUCUGUGGUGGUGACGAAGAGGGGAGGAACGGAGGCUGGGCUCGACAACUCCGUCAAAGUGAAGAGGCUUCUAUCGCUGAACAAAGAGCAUAUAUUCAGUUUUGUUUAUUUGAUCUCCCAUUAAUGAACACAUGUUAAUUUCAGAGUGGAUGUAUUUAAAUAAUGGGCGCCAUAUCAAUUAUUGAUAUUGUAUUAUGGGAUUACUGAAUAUUUUCUUCUAUAAAAGCAGACGGGAGGGAUGUUUCAAUUUUCAAGAAGAUAUUAAAAAAAAAAAAAAAAAGUAGACAAAAAAGUAGGGAAGAAGAAGAGGAAAAACAUAUCAAAGAGAGAGGAAGGUGCGGGGAGCAAUGAUGAUGUGUCCCAUUUUCUCUAUUUUUUAUUCCAUGUCACUAAUGAUGUCAGGUGAAUUGCUACGUCGGCACCUUUUGCGUCCGCAUGUUUGAAAGAAGAGCAAUAGGAACAAAAAACAAGAACAAAAAAAACAUAUGAUUUACGAAGCCUAUAAGAGAAAAAGGAAUCAUUGUUCCUACACCGAUGUUAGGAGAUUCAUUUUUUCAUUUUAAUUAUAUCUCAAACCAAUCUCACUUUUUGGUCGGACAUAUUAGUAAAAAGUCUGCAUUAUGUAGAUCAAACAUAUGAUAUCAUUUAUUGAGAUUUAUUUUUAAGUAAUGAAAACUAAAUAAAAAGUCCAAACUAUUUUAUAGAGCUAAACAAGUCCUACUCAUUUUUUUUUAAAACAAUAUCAAGUCCUCAUUUUGCACUAUUUGAAAUCGAGUUUUAAAUUUGCUGUCGUUGGUCUUCAAUUGCAGGAAUUCCCAAACAUUAUGAUCGGGACCAAUGCCGGCAACUUUGCUCAUCCCUAUAUGGAGUCACCAGUUCUGCCUUGCGAACUUCCAAAUCUACGACCAUGCUCUAGACUUUCAGAUCUGGUAAUGGCAGCUCAUCCAUAGCUUCGAGCAACGGUGGUUGACUUCUGGAUGGGCAACUAUGGCUCGAGAUCUCCAAAUUUGGCAACGGCGAUUUGUCCAUAGCCGUGAGUGACAAUGGUUGGCUUGGACACGGCAUCAACAGCUACGCAAAGGUGACGACGAGGGGAGGUGCAGAGUUCAAGCUUGACAACUCCAAUGGAGCAAAGAGGCUUCUGUGGCUAAACACACAGCAUUUAUUCAAUGUUGUUAAUUUGAUUGUACAUUUAUGGACUUGUGUCAAUUUAAGAAUGGAUGUGAGUAAAAAGUGCUUAUCAUAUCAGUCAUCCAUGUGGUGCUAUGGAAUCAUGGAAUAUUUUCUCUCAAAAAAAGUAUAGGAGAUAAGUUUCAAUUUUGAAGAAGAUAAUUAAAAGAAAAGAAGUAGAACAUAUCAAGAAGAAGAGGAAAACAUUUCGACGGAAGAGGAAGGUGAGGGAAGCAACGAUCGUCAAAAGAGGGGGGGGGGGGGGGGGGGGGGGGGUCCACCAUCACCCAGCUUUGUCCAACUCCUCUCUUUAUUUCUUAUUCCACGUAACUAAUUCACGUCGGGUCAUCAUGACGUGGUCUUAAGGCAAAUUGCUAAGGAUAAGUAUGUCGGAUUGCCCAAAUCAUAAACCAUCUAGAUUGGAAUGGAUCGGCAAGUUUGUUCCAAUUCUUGGAGAGAUUAGUCCGGUUCUCGAUUCUUGAUUCCAUAAAAAUGGAACUGGCAAUUUUUGGUCCGGACCGACUCUUUUUUUUUUAAUAUAUUUUUUAAUUUCUUAAAAAUAACAAUAAAACCUAAAAUUAGAAGCAAGUCUUGAAUAUUUUAGAUUUUUUAAUUUUUUUGCUAAAUGAUAAGUUCCAUGGGAUUGGACCAGAUCGAACCGACCGGUUGGUGUAGUUCAGUUCCUAUUCUAGGAUUGUCCGAUCCAGUCUCCAGUCCCAAAAAUUGAGAAUUGAUCCUCUCGAUAUGGUUCCUGAUUCCUAGGUGGAAUCGGAUUAAAUCGGGAACCGAUCAUCCCUAUGGAUUGUUACAUUGGUGCUUUUUGCAUUCCCAUGUUUGAAAGUAGAUGUUGCGACCUAAUUUUCGGGUGCACCACCUAAAACUAAGUUAUUGGACUACUAAGUUUUUAGACUUAGCUCGGGCUCUCCCAAGCUCAUACUAAUUCGCGACUUAAGAUUCAAACAUUUAACAUGCAAAUGAUUAUUAUCUAGGAAUCGCCACUAAUCAGUUUAAGGUAGGUCGAUUAGACACCUAAGUAAAAUAAUGGGAGGAUUAUUUUACUUCUACGAACCAGAGACUAAGGGUACGGGGACUUGGUUACAUUAGAUUUCUCUAAUGCUCUUUUGGUACCAUUUCUUUUUAAUUUUCAAAAAUGUUUUUUUUUCAGACCGUUUGGAUUUUUUUUAACCUAAGUUACCACCAUGCAAAUAUGGGGGGGGGGGGGGGGUCCACCAUCACCCAGCUUUGUCCAACUCCUCUCUUUAUUUCUUAUUCCACGUAACUAAUUCACGUCGGGUCAUCAUGACGUGGUCUUAAGGCAAAUUGCUAAGGAUAAGUAUGUCGGAUUGCCCAAAUCAUAAACCAUCUAGAUUGGAAUGGAUCGGCAAGUUUGUUCCAAUUCUUGGAGAGAUUAGUCCGGUUCUCGAUUCUUGAUUCCAUAAAAAUGGAACUGGCAAUUUUUGGUCCGGACCGACUCUUUUUUUUUAAUAUAUUUUUUAAUUUCUUAAAAAUAACAAUAAAACCUAAAAUUAGAAGCAAGUCUUGAAUAUUUUAGAUUUUUUAAUUUUUUUGCUAAAUGAUAAGUUCCAUGGGAUUGGACCAGAUCGAACCGACCGGUUGGUGUAGUUCAGUUCCUAUUCUAGGAUUGUCCGAUCCAGUCUCCAGUCCCAAAAAUUGAGAAUUGAUCCUCUCGAUAUGGUUCCUGAUUCCUAGGUGGAAUCGGAUUAAAUCGGGAACCGAUCAUCCCUAUGGAUUGUUACAUUGGUGCUUUUUGCAUUCCCAUGUUUGAAAGUAGAUGUUGCGACCUAAUUUUCGGGUGCACCACCUAAAACUAAGUUAUUGGACUACUAAGUUUUUAGACUUAGCUCGGGCUCUCCCAAGCUCAUACUAAUUCGCGACUUAAGAUUCAAACAUUUAACAUGCAAAUGAUUAUUAUCUAGGAAUCGCCACUAAUCAGUUUAAGGUAGGUCGAUUAGACACCUAAGUAAAAUAAUGGGAGGAUUAUUUUACUUCUACGAACCAGAGACUAAGGGUACGGGGACUUGGUUACAUUAGAUUUCUCUAAUGCUCUUUUGGUACCAUUUCUUUUUAAUUUUCAAAAAUGUUUUUUUUUCAGACCGUUUGGAUUUUUUUUAACCUAAGUUACCACCAUGCAAAUAUGGUGACCACACGAUGUGCUCAACUAUUUAAUAAAAUAAAUCGCAUCACACAAAACAAAUGAUUUUUUUUUUUGGAUUUUCAUUGAAAUUAGAAUUCUUUUAUAAAAAUGCAUUUUUUAACUAAAUGACUUAAUCUUAUUAAUAAGAAAAUUCUAAUUAAAUGAUCCUAUUAUGCAAACUAGUUAAUAUGCACCUCAUGACCUAAUUUUACUAGUAAAUAAAUUCUAAUAAAAUGAUCCUAUUAUGCAAACUACUUAAUAUGCACCUAGUAUUUUUGUAUUUUUUUUAUUGAAAUUCGGAAUUAAUAAAAACCCUAAUUAAACUAUCUAUAAAAGGAUAAUUUUCUAAUUUAUUCUAGGGAUUAAUUUGACUUAACCCUAUCUUAUCUUAGAAAACUAUAUUUGAAAGAAAAAUGUGAUAAGUAAAAUGUACGAACAUUAUCUAAAAAACUAAUUUAGGUCCAACCCUAACUUACUUCUAAAAAUGCAACCCUAAGAAUAUAAUACUAAGAAAAAAAAUUCUAAUUUACUAAACCUAUGAUUUUUUGAUUUUUUUAUAUUUUAAUUAUUAAAUAAAUAUUAAAUCUAAACUAUAAAAAAAAUAAAGGAUUAAAAUAAUCGAAAAAAUAACCUGUUGUCUCACAGGUCAAAUUAAUGAUUAAUUUAACCAUAAUUAUCACGACAAAGAGAUCAAAAUAAUUAAAAAUCUGAUCCGAAAUCUUACGGAUCAAAUUAAUAAUUAUAAUGAUUUACAAUUAAAAUUCUACCGAAAAGCCCAUAAAUUAAUAUAAUUAAAAAAAUAAUCCGAUGUCUCUCGGAUUAAGUUAAUAAUUAUAAUAAUUCCGGACAAAAUCCUAACAGAUAAUGCCUACAAAUGAACAAAUAUUAACAUUGACAAAUCAUAUUCUAACUUAAACAAUAAUAACAAAAUUUAAUAUGAAUAAAUAAAUGACAAUAAAAAUAAUAAAAAUAAACUACCUAGGUGAAAUUUUAAAAAGAGAGCGGCGGCAAUGAGCGGCGGCGCGGUGGCGUCGAGCUCCGGCGCAGGGGACGGCGGGCAAGGGCGGAGCAGCAAUGGCAAGUCGCGGGCCGGCGCGGACGUGUUGGGCGGAGCGGCGGCUGUGCGGGGUUGGUGAUGCCGGGGGCUCACCGGUGCGGCACGGGGAUGAUGGCGCGGCGGUGGUGCGGGUUGCUGCGGGUCACAGGUUGCUGCGCGGCGACGCUCGCGGGUGCUGGUGCGCGGAGGGAGCGGGGUGCGGCGAUGAACUCAAGCUAUCGGCGAAGGGAGAGCAACGAACGGGUGAGCUACUUCGGAGUAGGCGUUGGUGGGUCACUAGCAGAGGCGGGAGCAGCAGAUCUGGACAAAGACGGGGCCGGCGGCGCCGAGGGUUGAGGCGCGGUGCUACACGUCGAGGGGCAGAGCCGGCGGGAUGACGAUGGCGGAGGGGCAGGCCGCGGGUUGAGCGGGCGCUUCGCAGGCGAAGGGGAAGCUCCGGUGGCAAUGGGCGGCGGGCGUUCCGGCGUCGGGUUGCAGGCGGGGGCGCAGCCGUGAAGCUGCAGACGUCGGCUCGGUGCAACGAUGGGCAGGGGCGUCGGCUAGGGCGCGGGUUGUUGCAGGUGGAGAACGGCGUGCGGCUUCGUGGAGAAGGAACCCACGAAGAAGAAGCACAGUGCACGUCUUUUUCUUUUUCUCUCUCUCUCUCUCUUUUCUUUUUUUGACUUUUUGACUUUUCCCUUCUCCGAAGCGUUUUCUUUUGUGUUGCUUCUUCCCUAAGAACGAAUUCUCUCAAUUUUUUCGAAUAUUCCUCCCUCAGUUACGAAAAAAGCUCUCUUUUAUACUAAUUUCGAACGGCUGGUUUGAAUGGUAUUUUAUGAGUUUCUAUCUUCUGUUGCAUUAAAUCAAAGUUGCAAAUCAGAGCGUGAUUUUGCAAUCAGCUCGAUUUUACUUCGAUUUAUUCCGUUUUAUAAAAAUUCUUGCCAUUUAUUCACUUGAUUUUCAAAUUGCUUCUGCAUUUAACAAAAUCCGAAUACUCAUCAGAAUUUCAAAUUUCCAUGCAUAAUCAAUCAAAUCAAUUUCCCCAAUUUUUUCAUUUUUUUUCCUUUUAUUUGUUCCAAUGCAAAUUUUAUUUUCUUUAUUCUUCUAGAUUUGCUAAAAAAUUAGGUGUCAACAGUAGAGCAAUAUGAACCGCAAGAAAAUAAGAAGAAGGAGUGGAAAAGACAUCAUUUACGAAUUUGAUAAAGCAAAAGGAUUCUUUAUCCGAGGUUGGGAAAUUUAUUUUUUUCUUUUUAAUUAGAUCUCAAACUGAUUUUAAUUAGUUAAAUGUCUUCUCGCAUUUUUUUACUAAAUAUAUGAUAUAGUUUAUUAUAUUUUUUAAUUAAAGAAAAUUAUACUAAAGUGUAAAUUUUUUUACAUGGUACAAUCAAGUCCUUUACAUUUUUAAAAAUGCAAUCUAAUCCUCAUUUUGCAAUUUAUGAAAUCGAGUCCUAGAUUUGUUGCCAUUUGAAUUCAAUUGCAAGAAUUCCUAAAUAUUAUGAUUUGUCGCAAAAUUAAGCAAUAUUUCAACCGUAGUUAUUAAUAAAACAUGUGGGCUUCGUCGAUCAUGGAGUAUAAGUCCUGGUUAUGACUACUAGUUGGAAAAAAAUUUAAAAUUGUAUCUUCUAUGUCAAAUCGAGUCAAGAAAAGUCAGUGAAAAGUUCAAUUAAUCAUUUUUUUAAUGCAGACAAAAAUUUAUUCUCUUGUCUCUAUAUAUUUAAACCAAUCAAUAUUUAUGCAAAGAAAAUAUUUUAAUUUAUUCAUAUAAUGUCUUUAAACAAAUCAAUGUUUACGCGAGGAAUAUUUUAAUAUAUUCAUAUAAUGUGUUUAAGCAUAUUAUAAAAAAGUCAAAAGAAUGAAUACUGGAAGUUUGAUUGUCAAAAUGAAACUUAAUCAUGUUCAUUGUCAUCAUCGGAUUAGCCCCCUGUUGUUGACAAUGAAUUGUGUACCGUAUGAACUUCCUCAAGAAGCACAACAGCGCUGUGCCACAGCUAAAAACUUGGCCAGGAAGGACCUGUCUCGAUAAUUUUCUUUCUGUCCCGUCCCCACCCAAAAGAAAAAGUGUCAACCUUUUGAAUAGUCCCCGCCAUUUCCGGUACUCUUCUAUAAGAAAGGCAAAGCUCUCUGUCUGUGACCACGGCUUGUGAUUUGUGAAGAAGCAGCCUCACACUUGCAGGGUCAAAGCAACGAUCUAGAGGUGCGCAUUUCGUUAUCACUUUGUGUUUUUGAGCUCAGUUGACGCUCUUGUAAGAUAGUGUUAGAAGAAACAACUUGAAGUAGACAUGCUCUCGUUUUUUUUUUUUUUUUUGGUUACUCGCAUCAAUUUAGACGAGGCUUCUGCAUGUCAACAUGCCUCGCCGACGAUUUUCCCCAACCGGAGUUGUUUUUAGUAAUCAUGUAGAUGUUUCUUCAUGAAACUUCUGCAGAUUUGCAUAUUUCUCCAUUUUCUCUUGCUUUCCACUGAGACCGCCUCCCGAUUGUGUCUCUUUCAUUCCAGUUUGAUUUGAAAUAUUUCGGUGAAUUUGUGAUGAUCUGGCGUGAUCAACGUGGGACCAAAGCUCAGAGUCAUGACUGUCGAGUAAACCCUCGUUAAAUGAACUCAACUUAAUUCUGAUGUUAGAGACAAUAGAACGAAAAAAGGAAUCAAUAUCUCAGUACAAGAUAUGAUUUAGAAGCCACAUCAAGAAAUUUUAAAAAAUAGAGUUAGCAGCAUUGAUAUCCUUUAAAAUUCUUUUUCCGAUUGAAAUCCGUCUGUCAUGAAGUGGGACCUAUCGGAAAUUCCAUUUAUUCUAACAAGGCACUACAGAGUAAGCAAGAAGACCUAGCGGUCUAAACAACCAACCUCAUUUUCUUUUUGCAUAAUGUGAAGAGGAGCUAUAAAUAUCUUUCUUGAGAGACCGGCCUGCCCUUCGUCGUCCCAAAUCCAAUUCCAGUCCUUCAGAAUGACUUUUGAAUAACUUUCGACGUCCUUUUCAACCCUUUCAAUUAGUUACCUAUUUUUGACCCCCCAAAAAAAAACUAGUUACCCAUUACCCCAGAGAAUAUUAGAUUACAUAGUUUUCCGCCCGGUGCAAUUGGCAGUUGGCCUACCAAGAACUGAAUGAAGAAGAGAAGAGACUGGAACGAGAUGGAAGCAAACCCUAGAUAAAAUUCUCAUUACUGACGGGGAGGUAAUAAAUUGGUAAUUUAUUAUAUAUACUUCAUUGAAUAGUGAGAAGAUUUUUUUUUUUCUAUUGUUGGAUAGAUUUUGUAAAAUUAAAUUACAUGCACCUGGCCGAUCCGUAUGGAUCUAGGUAAAUAUCUAGGUAAAUAAUAUAAAUGAGACAGACUACACCAAUAUAAUUACUAUACAAAUUCAUUUGCAAGAAUACAACAAUCUCUCUUGUUCGUCCUCCUCCUCCUUAAGGAGAGCUAUAUCUUUUAACUCGGAGAAAAUUACAGAGUUGGAAUGAAUCCUCAUUAGUUACUGGAAGGCAAAUACAAGAUCUGAACGUGCAUGAACAUAUAUAUGAUUCGUUCAAGUAUUUUACCGGGUUUCAAUUUGACCAACCACGUCUAAUCUCUCCGAGAUGAUAACAACUUCUUUGCAGCACCUUGACUCUUCAUUUGUUUCUGCCUUUUUCACUCCCUCCGUUUCUUAACAAUUUGGCCCUUAGAUGGAUAAUUACUGCCACUGCACAUACGAUGAUCGGCCAAAUCUCCAUUGUAUCUACUCACAAGCAGCAUUGACAUGUGUCAUCUUCCUCUCUGCAUAGAGUCACCCAAAGAAUGGCGACGGACAAAGUGAGCUUGAAGCUUCUGGUCAACAAGAGCACCCGAACGGUGCUCUUUGCUGAAGCAGGCAAAGAUUUUGUAGACUUCCUCUUCCACAUCCUUGCAUUGCCGGUCGGAACGGUGAUCCAGCUCCUCACAAAAACCGGGAUGGUGGGCAGUUUAGGCAAUCUCUACGGCAGCGUCGAGAAGCUGAACGAUGUGUACAUUGAACCUUCCAAGAAAGACAUUCUCUUGAAACCCAAAGCACCCUCCUGUGUCUCUGAAAUCCCACUUAUAUUGCCUGAGACUUCUUCAGAUUCAACGCCCAAAACCUACUACAGGUGCCCUCAACGUUCGUAUAAUAACUGUUCA